Phalacrocorax carbo (great cormorant) is the source of this 1959-nucleotide non-coding RNA. NCBI's taxonomy places the organism in Eukaryota, Metazoa, Chordata, Aves, Suliformes, Phalacrocoracidae. The record is from RefSeq and is a predicted model, not a curated record.
GGCUUGCACUGAAGACCAGGAGCAGGCAGCUGCAGGGGCCUGGACAUCCACUAUGAAACAGUAUUUUGCACACUACCUUCCCUCACCAUCUCUUGUCUUCCCAGACGUUGCUGCUGGAUGCACACUGCAGGAAAGGGAAGCCAGCAGAACACUGAGGAAGGAAAAUGCCCGAGAGAGUCAGGCCUUGCCAGCUGUGAUCAGCAGUCUGAGCCCUUUCCCUGCAGGAUAUGCUUUGGAGCAAACUUUGCAUGGUUUCAAAUAAUACAGAUCAAAGUGAAUUCCCCACUAAAGCAAAUCCGCUAACCAACACUGAUGCUAUUCUCAAAGCAGGAAAGGUAUGAAGAGGAGCACAGGCAAGGAGAAGGGAAGAAAUGUCUUUGGAAAAAAGCCCCAGGGCUGCUGGUGAUGUGAAAUGCACAACCUCGAACACGGUCAGUGCACAAACCAAAAACACUCUGGAAAGACAGCAAAAAAAAGAGAGAGAAAAGGUUAAGAAGCAUCUCUGAGCAGCGGUGGAGCCACCCUACCCCCACCAGUAACUGCCAGCAGCAGCAGGUGCUUUUGGAGCAUGAGGUUUCUCCUUGGCUGCUGAGCAUAUUCCUCAUAGAAACACUCAAAAUCAGGCUCUGAAGUCAGGUGCAGAGGAAAGCAGAGCUGAGAACGGAGCCUCAUGGCUGGCCCGAGGACCCACAGAAUCGACAGUAUGCCCAGAUCAGGUGAGGGAGCAGAGAGGCUUUGGGGACCCCAUGGCUUCGUGGUUCCCGUGCUCCUGUGCUGCCAGCCCUUUGUGACCCUGCAGCUGUCAACCUCCUCCUGGAGAUGGGUCCCUUCCCAGGAACAUCUCCAGUUCUCCAGGGGCCGACGGCACCUUCCCCCCAUUUCCUGCGCUGAGGAUGAGCUGUGCGUUCCAGCAGCACGCAGUGCAUCAGGCCAGCAGCUGUACCACCAGCUGUUUGUUCAAAGGCCACUCACACUCACUGACUUCAGUGUGGUACAGACCAGGCACUGUGUGAGGACUCCGGUCCCUGUAGGGAUCCUGCAGAGUGUCUGAGACACCAGCCACAUUUGGUUGCCGCUUCAGGAGAAGAUGCAGGCAACCCUUCACUUGUGCUGCAGCUUUAAUGCAAAGGAAACCUGGGUGCAGAGUCACGCCAAGAAGAUCAAGGGGCCCAUGCAUAGUGCACACAGGCAGCCAAACGCUACACCAACACCAUGGCAAACACUGGAGUGUUGGAAAGCACCUUAACGUUGUCCUCCUACACUGUGAAAUCUGGAGCCUUCAGAUGUCGGUUUGUUACCCACUGUAAUGUGCUGGUCACAAGGUACGCUACGGUGAUCUGUGCACUGGCUUUGAUACUGUAAUUUGAACGUAUCUGCUUUUUCACUUAAUACAGACUACUGUUGUUUCAGUGUCCCUCAGGACAAUAUUUUCUCCAGAGAAAGGCCCAGGGACAAAGAGCAUCUUUUGAAUGCUCUCAUUACUUGUGCCAUAUUUCUCAUAUCUGAUAAGACUACUUGUGAAAUUCCAAAAAGAGAUGGUUAUCUUCUCUUACAGAAAUAACUUGGGCUAACGUUACUUUGAUACAAACCUUCUGUGAUACAUUUCUGUAAGCAAAGAACUACUUAAGUGCUACUCUUGAGGAAAUACUAGAAUAAUGUUUCACAUCUGUCUCAUUUUGACUGUAAUGAAGACUAUUUUUUGUACCAGCUCUGCUCUUAUAUCAUUACAGUAUGUUUUUUCUUUCAGUAAGCAGUUAUAAUUCUAUUUACUAGUUACUGCAGGUACCACUUCGAAUGCAUUUCUCUUUGGAAUCAGCAAAACACCAAGGAUAUUUUACAUGAAAGAAACAUUUAUGUGAUUUUGUCAAACAGUACAAAAGGCAUUUUGUGGAUCUUUGGAUUUGUCUAAGUCCUAUAUAUUAUUAUUUCUUGAUAACACUCCAGAGCACAUGAGAAAUU